CCUACGGGUGGCAGCAGUGAGGAAUAUUGGUCAAUGGGCGUAAGCCUGAACCAGCCAAGUCGCGUGAGGGAUGAAGGUUCUAUGGAUCGUAAACUUCUUUUAUAAGGGAAUAAAGUGUGGGACGUGUCCUGUUUUGUAUGUACCUUAUGAAUAAGGAUCGGCUAACUCCGUGCCAGCAGCCGCGGUAAUACGGAGGAUCCGAGCGUUAUCCGGAUUUAUUGGGUUUAAAGGGUGCGUAGGCGGCUUUUUAAGUCAGCGGUGAAAGUCUGUGGCUCAACCAUAGAAUUGCCGUUGAAACUGGAAGGCUUGAGUAUGUUUGAGGCAGGCGGAAUGCGUGGUGUAGCGGUGAAAUGCUUAGAUAUCACGCAGAACUCCGAUUGCGAAGGCAGCUUACUAAGCCAUAACUGACACUGAAGCACGAAAGCGUGGGGAUCAAACAGGAUUAGAUACCCGAGUAGUC
RNAcentral lists this ribosomal RNA (460 nucleotides) under uncultured bacterium. RNAcentral describes it as "partial 16S ribosomal RNA". It matches the Rfam family "Bacterial small subunit ribosomal RNA", at positions 338 to 795 of the family's 1533-position model. The record is from RNAcentral.